AAGUCGUAACAAGGUCUCCGUUGGUGAACCAGCGGAGGGAUCAUUACCGAGUUUACAACUCCCAAACCCAAUGUGAACCAUACCAAACUGUUGCCUCGGCGGGGUCACGCCCCGGGUGCGUCGCAGCCCCGGAACCAGGCGCCCGCCGGAGGGACCAACCAAACUCUUUCUGUAGUCCCCUCGCGGACGUUAUUUCUUACAGCUCUGAGCAAAAAUUCAAAAUGAAUCAAAACUUUCAACAACGGAUCUCUUGGUUCUG
RNAcentral lists this unclassified non-coding RNA (259 nucleotides) under Trichoderma koningiopsis. Its description in RNAcentral is "partial internal transcribed spacer region". The stretch from base 1 to 46 matches the Rfam family "Eukaryotic small subunit ribosomal RNA", at positions 1786 to 1831 of the family's 1831-position model. The record is from RNAcentral. RNAcentral also lists the same sequence under 4 other names. Lineage: Eukaryota; Fungi; Ascomycota; Sordariomycetes; Hypocreales; Hypocreaceae.